UCCCGUUUAGCUCAGUUGGUAGAGCGCGUCACUAGUAACCGGCUUAUGGCCCGCUUACCCAAUGACGAGGUCAGUCGUUCAAGUCGGCUAAUGGGAA
Non-coding RNA from Lactarius quietus, 97 nucleotides. NCBI's taxonomy places the organism in Eukaryota, Fungi, Basidiomycota, Agaricomycetes, Russulales, Russulaceae. The record is from the annotation of a GenBank genome assembly.